GCAAUGGUGGUUCGGUGGGAGAAUUCCUGCCUUCCAUGUGGAAGACCCAGGUUUGACUCCCAGCCAAUGCA
This 71-nucleotide transfer RNA is filed under the name Loxodonta africana (African savanna elephant). It matches the Rfam family "tRNA". Rfam says of the family: Transfer RNA (tRNA) molecules are approximately 80 nucleotides in length. Their secondary structure includes four short double-helical elements and three loops (D, anti-codon, and T loops). Lineage: Eukaryota; Metazoa; Chordata; Mammalia; Proboscidea; Elephantidae. The record is from Rfam by way of RNAcentral.